GACGAACGCUGGCGGCGUGCUUAACACAUGCAAGUCGAACGAAGUGGCGAACGGGUGAGUAACGCGUAAUCAACCUGCCCUUCAGAGGGGGACAACAGUUGGAAACGACUGCUAAUACCGCAUACUGAAGGAGGGGAUUGCGUCUGAUUGGCUAGUUGGAGGGGUAACGGCCCACCAAGGCGAUGAUCAGUAGCCGGGUGUAGAGGAAGAAUGGGCAAAUUGGGAAGGAGACAAGGCCCAGACUCCUACGGGAGGCAGCAGUGGGGAAGCUUCCGAAAUGGACGAAAGUCUGACGGAGCAACGCCGCGUGAGUGAUGACGGCCUUCGGGUUGUAAAGCUCUGUUAAGCGGGACGCGGUACCGGAAGAGAAAGCCACGGCUAACUACGUGCCAGCAGCCGCGGUAAUUC
RNAcentral lists this ribosomal RNA (408 nucleotides) under uncultured bacterium. Its description in RNAcentral is "partial 16S ribosomal RNA". It matches the Rfam family "Bacterial small subunit ribosomal RNA", at positions 28 to 526 of the family's 1533-position model. The record is from RNAcentral.